UGGAAAGUGAUUUGAAGAGUUGCAGUUUUCUUGAAACCUGAGCCUGAGAAUUUGCUUAUGGAUUGUCUGUAAUGCCAGGAAAUGGAAUAGAGGACUGGGAAGAGUGAGAGAAGGAAGAGAAGCCAGGAGGAGAGUAUGUUACGAGCUGUGAAUAAUUGGGACUUGAUUCCACUGAGCUCCUUUGAAGUAUCUGAGAAUUUGACUGCAGAAUUGUGAACCUUAAAAUCACAGAAAAGAGAAUAUUUAUCUAUUGAACCUUCUCUUCAUCUUGCAUUGGUCAAGAGUUGUCCUACGGGAUAUUAAGACACUUGCACUUUCAAGUUUGCAGAAGUAUGGGAACGAAAGCAUCCAAAAAGCCCUGAGGCAGGAAGCAAGCUGAGACAAGGUGUUGGUGAUGAUGGUACACCUGGAUGAAGCUAACUUUAGCAGCAAUAGUUGCUGAAUGAAUUUUUCAUUUAAUCUAAGUUGCCACAUUCAUCAGCAUAAAAUUGUUAAUGAUAUUCUUUUAGAACUUGGAGGGUGGUAGGAGAGAGAGGAGCAGAAAAAAAUAACUAUUGGAUAUGAGCCUUAAUACCUGGGUUUUGACAUAAUCUGUACAACAAACCUCCAUGAAACAAGUUUACCUAUAUAACAAACCUUCACAUGCACCCCCAAAUCUAAAAUAAAAGUUGAAGCAACA
This 679-nucleotide long non-coding RNA is filed under the name Pan troglodytes (chimpanzee). RNAcentral's name for it is "long non-coding RNA NONPTRT009363". Lineage: Eukaryota; Metazoa; Chordata; Mammalia; Primates; Hominidae. The record is from RNAcentral.